Molecule: long non-coding RNA, 478 nt
Organism: Dendroctonus ponderosae (mountain pine beetle)
Lineage: Eukaryota; Metazoa; Arthropoda; Insecta; Coleoptera; Curculionidae
Exons: 2
Source: RefSeq, a predicted model, not a curated record
UAAACUUUGAUAAACGAGAAACGUUAUUAGUUUUUAGCUUUUCAGUUUACCUUUAGUGAACAAAUCAUUUUGUGACACACCAAUGUCGUAGUAAUAAAACCUCUAAAAAUAUAUAGACGGGAUAUUUAGUUCUUAUAUCAAUUCGAAUAGAGUGCAUACAAGACAUAAAGCAAAAUUUUAACCGUAUGGCAAAAAAGCACUUACUGUGAUAAAUAUCUUGUAACUUCCAUAGUAUGCAAUUAUAUUGGGGUGUCUACAAUCCUUCAUCAUAAGUAUUUCCUGCUGUAUGAUUCCAAAGUCAUCUCCUACAAAGAGAUGUAAUAAUUGCACAAAAUUUGACCCUCACGUUGAUGGUUUACAACUUACCAGCUUCCAAUUUAAUAACCUUAAUUGCAGCCAGGUCAUUUGUGGAUAAUCUUUUGGCCUGAAACAAUAAUUAGAAUGUAAUAAAUUAAUAAUAAAUUGAGAUGUAAAUUGC